GACGAACGCUGGGGGCGUGCCUAAUACAUGCAAGUCGAACGCUUCUUUCCUCCCGAGUGCUUGCACUCAAUUGGAAAGAGGAGUGGCGGACGGGUGAGUAACACGUGGGUAACCUACCCAUCAGAGGGGGAUAACACUUGGAAACAGGUGCUAAUACCGCAUAACAGUUUAUGCCGCAUGGCAUAAGAGUGAAAGGCGCUUUCGGGUGUCGCUGAUGGAUGGACCCGCGGUGCAUUAGCUAGUUGGUGAGGUAACGGCUCACCAAGGCCACGAUGCAUAGCCGACCUGAGAGGGUGAUCGGCCACACUGGGACUGAGACACGGCCCAGACUCCUACGGGAGGCAGCAGUAGGGAAUCUUCGGCAAUGGACGAAAGUCUGACCGAGCAACGCCGCGUGAGUGAAGAAGGUUUUCGGAUCGUAAAACUCUGUUGUUAGAGAAGAACAAGGACGUUAGUAACUGAACGUCCCCUGACGGUAUCUAACCAGAAAGCCACGGCUAACUACGUG
Molecule: ribosomal RNA, 508 nt
Filed under: uncultured bacterium
Lineage: Bacteria
Description: partial 16S ribosomal RNA
Rfam family: Bacterial small subunit ribosomal RNA
Source: RNAcentral